UACAGAGGCCCCAAGCAUUAUCCGGAAUCACUGGGCGUAAAGGGUGUCAAGGCGGUCAUGUUAGUCGUUCGUAAAAUCCGGGAGCUCAACUUCCGGCCCGCGAGCGAAACGGCAUGACUUGAGGUUGGGAGAGGUGUGUGGAACUCACGGUGUAGGGGUGAAAUCCGUUGAUAUCGUGGGGAACACCAAAGGCGAAGGCAGCACACUGGCCCAAAUCUGACGCUCACACACGAAAGCCAGGGUAGCGAACGGG
RNAcentral lists this ribosomal RNA (253 nucleotides) under uncultured bacterium. RNAcentral's name for it is "partial 16S ribosomal RNA". It matches the Rfam family "Bacterial small subunit ribosomal RNA", at positions 524 to 776 of the family's 1533-position model. The record is from RNAcentral.